GGCGCACGGGUGCGUAACGCGUAUGCAAUCUACCUUUUACAGAGGGAUAGCCCAGAGAAAUUUGGAUUAAUACCUCAUAGUAUAGUGAGUUGGCAUCAACACACUAUUAAAGUCACAACGGUAAAAGAUGAGCAUGCGUCCCAUUAGCUAGUUGGUAAGGUAACGGCUUACCAAGGCAACGAUGGGUAGGGGUCCUGAGAGGGAGAUCCCCCCACACUGGUACUGAGACACGGACCAGACUCCUACGGGAGGCAGCAGUGAGGAAUAUUGGUCAAUGGGCGCAAGCCUGAACCAGCCAUGCCGCGUGCAGGAUGACGGUCCUAUGGAUUGUAAACUGCUUUUGCACAGGAAGAAACACUCGGUCGUGACCGAGCUUGACGGUACUGUGAGAAUAAGGAUCGGCUAACUCCGUGCCAGCAGCCGCGGUAAUACGGAGGAUCCAAGCGUUAUCCGGAAUCAUUGGGUUUAAAGGGUCCGUAGGCGGCCAGAUAAGUCAGUGGUGAAAGCCCAUCGCUCAACGAUGGAACGGCCAUUGAUACUGUUUGGCUUGAAUUAUUUGGAAGUAACUAGAAUAUGUAGUGUAGCGGUGAAAUGCUUAGAGAUUACAUGGAAUACCAAUUGCGAAGGCAGGUUACUACAAAUUGAUUGACGCUGAUGGACGAAAGCGUGGGUAGCGAACAGGAUUAGAUACCCUGGUAGUCCACGCCGUAAACGAUGGAUACUAGCUGUUGGGAGCAAUCUCAGUGGCUAAGCGAAAGUGAUAAGUAUCCCACCUGGGGAGUACGUUCGCAAGAAUGAAACUCAAAGGAAUUGACGGGGGCCCGCACAAGCGGUGGAGCAUGUGGUUUAAUUCGAUGAUACGCGAGGAACCUUACCAAGGCUUAAAUGUAGAUUGACCGGUUUGGAAACAGACUUUUCGCAAGACAAUUUACAAGGUGCUGCAUGGUUGUCGUCAGCUCGUGCCSUGAGGUGUCAGGUUAAGUCCUAUAACGAGCGCAACCCCUGUUGUUAGUUGCCAGCGAGUCAUGUCGGGAACUCUAGCAAGACUGCCAGUGUAAACUGUGAGGAAGGUGGGGAUGACGUCAAAUCAUCACGGCCCUUACGCCUUGGGCUACACACGUGCUACAAUGGCCGGUACAGAGAGCAGCCACUACGCAAGUAGGAGCGAAUCUAUAAAACCGGUCUCAGUUCGGAUCGGAGUCUGCAA
This 1207-nucleotide ribosomal RNA is filed under the name Flavobacterium psychrophilum. RNAcentral describes it as "bacterial SSU rRNA". It matches the Rfam family "Bacterial small subunit ribosomal RNA", at positions 97 to 1310 of the family's 1533-position model. Lineage: Bacteria; Pseudomonadati; Bacteroidota; Flavobacteriia; Flavobacteriales; Flavobacteriaceae. The record is from RNAcentral.